AUUGAACGCUGGCGGCAGGCCUAACACAUGCAAGUCGAACGAGUUGCGGACGGGUGAGUAAUGUAUGGGAAACUGCCUGAUGGAGGGGGAUAACUACUGGAAACGGUACCUAAUACCGCAUACCAUCGGAUGUGCCCAGAUGGGAUUAGCUAGUAGGUGGGGUAACGGCUCACCUAGGCGACGAUCCCUAGCUGGUCUGAGAGGAUGACCAGCCACACUGGCACCGAGACACGGCCCAGACGCCUACGGGAGGCAGCAGUGGGGCAGAUUGCACAAUGGGCGCAAGCCUGAUGCAGCCAUGCCGCGUGGAUGAAGAAGGCCUUCGGGUUGUAAAGUACUUUCAGCUGGGAGGCGUUACCCGCAGAAGAAGCACCGGCUAACUCCGUGCCAGCAGCCGCGGUAAUUC
Molecule: ribosomal RNA, 406 nt
Filed under: uncultured bacterium
Lineage: Bacteria
Description: partial 16S ribosomal RNA
Rfam family: Bacterial small subunit ribosomal RNA
Source: RNAcentral